GAGACUGCCGGUGUUAAACCGGAGGAAGGUGGGGAUGACGUCAAGUCCUCAUGGCCUUUAUGCCCAGGGCUACACACGUGCUACAAUGGGUGGUACAAAGAGCAGCUAACUCGCGAGAGUAUGCAAAUCUCAAAAAGCCAUCCUCAGUUCGGAUUGGAGUCUGCAACUCGACUCCAUGAAGUUGGAAUCGCUAGUAAUCGCGGAUCAGCAUGCCGCGGUGAAUACGUUCCCGGGCCUU
RNAcentral lists this ribosomal RNA (238 nucleotides) under uncultured Syntrophus sp. RNAcentral describes it as "partial 16S ribosomal RNA". It matches the Rfam family "Bacterial small subunit ribosomal RNA", at positions 1145 to 1382 of the family's 1533-position model. Lineage: Bacteria; Pseudomonadati; Thermodesulfobacteriota; Syntrophia; Syntrophales; Syntrophaceae. The record is from RNAcentral.